GACGAACGCUGGCGGCGUGCUUGACACAUGCAAGUCGAACGGAAAGGCCUGCUUUCCCUUGUGGAUUGCGGGUACUCGAGUGGCGAACGGGUGAGUAACACGUGAGUGAUCUGCCCCCAACUUGGGUAUAAGCCUGGGAAACUGGGUCUAAUUCCCGAUAGGACUGCAGGGUGGUGCCUGUGGUGGAAAACGAUUUUCUAGUGGUUGGGGAUGAGCUCGCGGCCUAUCAGCUUGUUGGUGGGGUAAUGGCCUACCAAGGCGGCGACGGGUAGCCGGCCUGAGAGGGUGGACGGCCACAUUGGGACUGAGAUACGGCCCAGACUCCUACGGGAGGCAGCAGUGGGGAAUAUUGCACAAUGGGCGGAAGCCUGAUGCAGCGACGCCGCGUGGGGGAUGACGGCCUUCGGGUUGUAAACUCCUUUCGACCGCGAGGAAGCCACCUGGUUGGAAGGGUGGUGACGGUAGUGGAAGAAGCACCGGCUAACUACGUG
This 491-nucleotide ribosomal RNA is filed under the name uncultured bacterium. Its description in RNAcentral is "partial 16S ribosomal RNA". It matches the Rfam family "Bacterial small subunit ribosomal RNA", at positions 28 to 507 of the family's 1533-position model. The record is from RNAcentral.